This 253-nucleotide ribosomal RNA is filed under the name uncultured bacterium. RNAcentral's name for it is "partial 16S ribosomal RNA". It matches the Rfam family "Bacterial small subunit ribosomal RNA", at positions 524 to 776 of the family's 1533-position model. The record is from RNAcentral.
UACAGAGGGUGCAAGCGUUAAUCGGAAUUACUGGGCGUAAAGGGCGCGUAGGCGGCCUGCUAAGUCGAACGUGAAAUCCCCGGGCUCAACCCGGGAACUGCGUCCGAUACUGACAGGCUUGAAUCCGGGAGAGGGAUGCAGAAUUCCAGGUGUAGCGGUGAAAUGCGUAGAUAUCUGGAGGAAUACCGGUGGCGAAGGCGGCAUCCUGGACCGGCAUUGACGCUGAUGAGCGAAAGCUAGGGGAGCAAACGGG